AAUUAAUUAGCUUAACCCCCUAAAGCAUAUGUCUUGAAAACAUGAAAUUAGAAGAUAACCCUUUUAUUAAUUU
This 73-nucleotide transfer RNA is filed under the name Paramastax nigra. Its description in RNAcentral is "tRNA-Ser". It matches the Rfam family "tRNA". Rfam says of the family: Transfer RNA (tRNA) molecules are approximately 80 nucleotides in length. Their secondary structure includes four short double-helical elements and three loops (D, anti-codon, and T loops). Lineage: Eukaryota; Metazoa; Arthropoda; Insecta; Orthoptera; Eumastacidae. The record is from RNAcentral.